RNAcentral lists this long non-coding RNA (1424 nucleotides) under Helianthus annuus (common sunflower). Its description in RNAcentral is "hypothetical non coding rna". The record is from RNAcentral. Lineage: Eukaryota; Viridiplantae; Streptophyta; Magnoliopsida; Asterales; Asteraceae.
AUGUCUGGUCGUACAAAGAAGCAGGAGGCGAUGGGUUUCUUCAAACCCUAAAAUCCUUACUAAAACUCUCAAAUUGGAGGUGCAAAUAUGGUCCAAAACGAAAAUCGAGCAUAGAUUACUGAUCCCCAUUGCAAGGGGGUUGUAAGUUUGACUCUUGACAAGCUAGAUGGAGGCUUGGAAUGAAGCGGGUCAAACGGAGCAAGUACGAAAAGGAAAGCGUAAUUUGGAUGCGAGGUUGUAAAUAUGACAAAAGCUAUAUUUGAAAUAUGGUUCCGACACGAAAUUAAAAACGGGUCGGGACAUAUAAAAUAAUGAUAAACCAUGUUUAAUGGUAAAAUGGGCGAAAUGGUAAUUGGUCACGAGAUGACAUAUAUAUAAAAUGAGUUUUUGAAUGGCUACUUAUUAAGGUAAGCCUAAACGAAUAAAAAGAGUAAAACGACGAAUUAGUCAUGUGUAGACGAAAAAGAGUUGAAGUUUAAAACAACACCAUUUAAUAUUAAGCACAAAAUAUUUGGUAGUCUAGACCAAACGGGUCAAAUGGUAAUAUUUAUACCAUUUGAUAAUUAACGACUAAUAAGUGUAUGUCGAGUCUCAUGCUCGCAGGGUAAUUGGUUUAUGAAUUAGCGAGGCUAUGAAUUAGCAUAUUAUAGAGACAAGGUCUUAAAACGGGUCAAUAUGUUGACCCGAGCCAGGUACGCUUAUAUAUAUAGAUGUAUAGUUAAAAGUGUUUAACUUCCCUUCACGGGUCAAAAGGAGUAGAUAGGUAAAACGGGUUAAGAAUUCAUAAGAAACCCGUAAUUUGAACCUUGCACAUUAGUAAAUUGAUAUAACGUGAUAUGCAUGAUAUUUUGAAUAUGAUUGAUUGAUCUUUGAUAUUGGUUCAUAUGUAACAUAUUAGAAUUUCGAGAAACUAAUGUAUUGGUAUGUUAGAAAGAGCGAAAUCCGAGAUUUAGGCUUGAGUAUAAUGAACAAAGCAACCAAAAGAUGGAUUUACAGGGACUACCGUAAGUUACGGUAGAGGUCAGGAGCUUACGGUGUGAGUCUACUGGUUUACGGUGGACCAUUAUUGGAAAUUGACCACCGUAACUUACGGUGAAACCGUAAGUUACGGUAGGGCCUGAAUGUUUAUAAAUUUUAUAUAAUUGUAAAUUUUCAAAUUCAUUUCGAUCGUAGUUUCGAUCAAGUAUCAUUUCUAAGCAUUCUAAUAUAAAUGUUUAUGUAAACAUUUCAGUCUUAGGUACUCAAGGAUUAUGGGUGACGAUCAAGCAACUUUUGAAGGACCGAACACAUACUCUUGAAGCUUCCGCAUAAAUCAAGUCGGUUUAAACAAUGUUUAUGAUGUAAACUGUUUGCUAUACAACUUUUGAAAUGUUUAAACGACGUACUCAAUUAUGUUAUGUUGUAUUAUUUUAAAAUUGUAACGU